UACAGAGGGUGCGAGCGUUAAUCGGAAUUACUGGGCGUAAAGCGCGCGUAGGCGGCCAACUAAGUCAGACGUGAAAUCCCCAGGCUUAACCUGGGAACUGCGUCUGAUACUGGAUGGCUUGAAUUCGGGAGAGGGAUGCAGAAUUCCAGGUGUAGCGGUGAAAUGCGUAGAUAUCUGGAGGAAUACCGGUGGCGAAGGCGGCAUCCUGGACCGACAUUGACGCUGAGGAGCGAAAGCUAGGGGAGCAAACGGG
Molecule: ribosomal RNA, 253 nt
Filed under: uncultured bacterium
Lineage: Bacteria
Description: partial 16S ribosomal RNA
Rfam family: Bacterial small subunit ribosomal RNA
Source: RNAcentral